Molecule: long non-coding RNA, 624 nt
Filed under: Phoenix dactylifera (date palm)
Lineage: Eukaryota; Viridiplantae; Streptophyta; Magnoliopsida; Arecales; Arecaceae
Description: long non-coding RNA (PDAC_LNC016378)
Source: RNAcentral
CUUGAAGCCUAACUAAUGCAGCUGGUAUAUAUGAGCAGUAAACUUCUGAGAGGCUUCGUCUUCGGUGCAUGUACGCUCUCUAUAAAUCCUGCUGAACUUGGCACUUUUCUGUGUUCUCUAAUAAUUAAGGGAUGAUGCUGAACUAGCUUGUUACGUUGUAAUCCUUUUCGAACAUAUAUGAAGAUAUCUAAUGGCUUGCAUUUCCCUUUGUCCCAUUCUAUCUUUUUGAAGUCUUCCAUCCAGACGCAACAUAAUCCAAUCACUCAUGGGUAGGGCUUGGCUCAAAAUUUAGCUCCAAACGUCCUGACGGAUCUUAGACAUGGAACAGCCACUGAAUCAUAUGCUGUUUGCAAAGACAAUAUCUUCCGCAUCUAAGAAUGGGAAUGGUCAGUACCCUCCUUAAUGCCCAUUGUCUUAUUGCAACAAUGAUAACACCAAUGGUUGGCAACGCCCACACAUACCCCACCACAAAGUAGUUUUGAGAUGACUCGAUCAUCCAGCAUGGUGAACUUUGAGAGCAAUCAUUUAUCCAACACAACUACCAGAUGAUUUCAAAGUGAUGAUUUGCAUUAAAACAGGUUCCAUUAAAAAUAAAAAUCUUGUGCAUUGCUUGGAGUAUAAUCA